Molecule: RNA transcript, 2462 nt
Organism: Pyrgilauda ruficollis (rufous-necked snowfinch)
Lineage: Eukaryota; Metazoa; Chordata; Aves; Passeriformes; Passeridae
Gene: SLC35A2
Gene name: solute carrier family 35 member A2
Exons: 5
Source: RefSeq, a predicted model, not a curated record
GUGGCCGGAAGCGGAAGUCCUGUGCAGGUGCCACCAUGGCGGCCCCGGGGGCGGCGGACGGGGGAGGCUCCGGAGACUCCGCGGGGCCCGCGACGGUGACCCCCGGUGUCCCCGCAGUGUCGUGGCGGGUGAAGUACGCCAGCCUGGGCGUGCUGGUGCUGCAGAACGCGUCGCUGGUGCUCAGCAUCCGCUACGUGCGCACGCUGCCCGGGGAGCGCUUCCUGCCCACCACCGCCGUGGUGAUGGCCGAGGCCAUGAAGGGCAGCGCCUGCCUGCUGCUGCUGCUCAUCCAGCACCGGGGCAGUGUCCGGCAGACGGCGGUGACGCUGCACGAGGCCGUGGUGGGACAGUUUGGGGACACGCUGCGCCUGGCUGUCCCCUCCCUCAUCUACACCCUGCAGAACAACCUGCAGUACGUGGCCAUCUCCAACCUGCCCGCCGCCACCUUCCAGGUGACGUACCAGCUGAAGAUCCUGACCACGGCGCUGUUCUCGGUGCUGCUGCUGGGCACGGCGCUGUCGCGGCUGCAGUGGCUGUCGCUGGCGCUGCUCUUCGCGGGGGUGGCGCUGGUGCAGGCGGAGCAGGCGCGGGCCGUGCCCCCUCCGGCGGCGCUGGCGCCGUCCGCGGGCCCCGAGGGGCCGGCGCAGAGCUACGCCGUGGGGCUGGCGGCCGUGGCCGCCUCCUGCCUGUCCUCGGGCUUCGCCGGCGUCUACUUCGAGCGGCUGCUGAAGCGCUCGGGCGGCUCCAUCUGGCUGCGCAACGUGCAGCUGGGCGCCGUGGGCACGGCCGUGGGGCUGGGCGCCAUGCUGGCCGCCGAGGGCCCGGCCGUGGCCGCGCUCGGCUUCUUCUACGGCUACAACGGCGCCGUGUGGGCCGUGGUGGUCAACCAGGCGGCCGGGGGGCUGCUGGUGGCCGUGGUGGUCCGCUACGCCGACAACAUCCUCAAGGGCUUCGCCACGGCGCUGUCCAUCCUGGCCUCCACGGCCGCCUCGGCGCACCUCUUCGGCUUCCGGCCGCGCGCGCCCUUCCUGGCCGGCACCGCCAUGGUGCUGGCCGCCGUGGUGCUCUACGGGCGGCCCCGCGGCCAGGCCGGCCACCGCGGCCAGGACGGCGGCAAGUCAGUGGGGCCCUAGGGAGCCCUGGGGACAGCCGGGGGCCACCGGGACGGGGAGGGGACGGGGGGCCGUGAGCGGGGCGGGGACCCGGCUGAGGGGUCGGCAGGUGAGGGGUCAGCAGUGAGGGGCUGGCAGGUGAAGGGUCAGCAGGUGAGGGUGCCCAGGUGAGGGGUCAGCAGGUGAGGGUGCCCAGGUGAGGGGUCAGCAGUGAGGGAACCCGCUGAGAGGUCGGCAGGUGAGGGGUCAGCAGGUGAAGGUCCAGCAGGUGGCAGGGGCUCAUUAGGCUCAUUAGGCUUAUUAGGCUCAUUAGGGCUCGUCAGGGUGGUGGAGGAGCUCAGGGGUCCCCAGGGUUAGCGGGGGGGGGGGACCCCGAUCUUGGCCUUGUUUGGGUGGUGGGGGCUCGUUACGGCUCGUUAGGGACCUGCAGAGACUCAUUAAUUAUGGGCAGCUCAUUAAGGCGAUUUGGGUGCUGGGGGACCCUGAGGUGGAGAUUAAUGAGGUCAGAGGUUAAUGAGGGGCUCAUUGGGACCCCGCCCCCUCUGUGGGGAUCCCCUCCCCCCCAGCCCCCCCGCCCGGUGGGGGAGGGGCCGGAUGUACAGAUUUUGUAGGGGGGAGGGGCCGGGCGCGUUUUUAACGAGCUUUGGGGCUAAUAAAGGCGGAUUUGGUUAAAGCGCGUGUGGGGGGGCACUAACACACUAACACGGGCUGGGAGCCAUGGGGGGCUGCCCGGGGCCAUAUAGAAUCCAUAGGGGACACUUCCCAGGCCAUACAGCAUCCAUAGGUACUCUCCCCAGAUGCCACAAGAGCCCCCCAGGGCCGUGUGGGAUCCAUAGGGGACUGCCCAGAGCUGUACAGGAUCCAUAGGGGACUGCCCGGGGCUGUACAGGAUCAAUAGGGGACUGCCCGCGGCUGUAGGGGAUCCCGCAGAGCUUUCCCAGCCCCUAUAGACCCCCCUGGAGCUCCCCGGGCCCUACAGGAUCCAUAGGGUCCCUCAGGGUCUCUCUCUCUUGCAGGUCUCCCAGCAAGGCCAAGGGCACCUGACGGCUCCGAGCGACCCCCCGGGCCCUAUAGGAUCCAUAUGGACCCUCCCCCCCGGGCCCUAUAGCAUCCAUAUGGACCCUCCCCCCCAGUCCCUUUGGGGGCCAUAUGGACCCUCCCUCUCCUGGGGGCUAUAGGGACCCUCCCCCCCACUCCCUAUAGGGGACUCAGGGAUGCUCCUGGUCCCCAUAGGAGCCCUAUGGCCGCUCUCCCUCGCCCCCGGGAGCUAUAGGGUCCCCUCCAGUCCCUAUAGGGGCCAUAGGGUCCCCCCGCGCGUUUUUGAGGUGAAUUAAGAGGAUUUUGGUCAAA